Molecule: long non-coding RNA, 999 nt
Organism: Daphnia pulicaria
Lineage: Eukaryota; Metazoa; Arthropoda; Branchiopoda; Diplostraca; Daphniidae
Exons: 4
Source: RefSeq, a predicted model, not a curated record
AAAAAAAAAAAAAAAAAAUUGGCGGUUGAGUUGCAUAAAUUGGCAACGCUGCUUUAGUUUUCACGAAAGUACGUCUGCAAUUUGUUGCCCAAAGGCUAAAGCCAAAACGAAACUUCAGGAUUCUCGCUAGUCAUUCAACUAACUGUCAUUGAACGGGACGAAAUGGCCGAAACAAAUUGUUGCUAAUUAAGUAAUUAUAGUUCUAAUCCUGUGAUUUAAAAUACCAAAUUGAACUUCGUAUCUUAUAUGCAUUGUUACUGUUAGUCAUCCCAACAAGUUGACUAGGCGCUCAGUCAUUUUCCAUAGUCCAUUAGAUCCUCAUUCUGUCAAAAGCCUAAAACUCAUGUUUGAAGCUCACACAAAUGUGUGGAAUACAAAUGUGCGGAGAUAAGAUAUUUUCCCAUUACUGCUACCACACCAACCACACCACGUCAGAUGCCUUACUUAAUCAUCACCCAUAUGAUAAAGCGUCAGGAAAUAUAUCUCAACUUGAGGAGUAAUGCUGUUGGUUGCUGUAAUUCCAUUAUUACAGUUUUUCAUCAUGACAUUUCAGUGUGCUUCUUAGAAAAGACGACGCAAGAUCCCCACGGACAUCCUUGAGCCAAUGCUGGAUUUUGUCCAUGACAGAAGAGGGACUUCCACCAACGUUCUGCUCCAUCCUUAUCUUCAAGACGUACGCUCAUCCAGCUUCACUGCUUCAGUGCUUCAUAUGCUGCUAGCCUGCUACACAACUUUUCUUGCUUCACUGGCGAGUUGGAUCACUUCAGUUGCUGUGACACACCUGCAGUCACUCACCACGGGAUUAUGGCCAGAUACCGGACAAUUGACUUAUUUUCGCAGAUUAUCUUCUAGUAAUCUCUUUGCGUUAAACUAUCUGUCUGUGUAAUAAUUCGAAAAUCAGGCCCUUCUUGCGCACUUAAGUGUUACUCAGACGGGUUUCUUUUUUCUAACGCUAGAUGGCUUUUCGAUAAUUUUAGCUGUCAAAACAGUCAGUUUCAG